CAGCGUGAGCCGGGAAUGGAAAGACCGGUACAAGCGAGGUAGGAGAAGAGUUGGCAAAUCCGCUCUUUAAUCUGAAGACGUGAUGUGGACUGAAAAUAAGUAGGGAAGCACGUGAGCUGACUGUCAAGAGAGCCGCUAUUGUUUGCAGGAUACCCGUACCGUAAACCGACACAGGUGGAUGAGGAGAGAAUCCUAAGGCCGACGGGAGAAGCAUUGUUAAGGAACUCGGCAAAAUGACUCCGUAACUUCGGGAGAAGGAGUGCCAGUAAGAUGGCCGCAGAGAAUUGGCCCAAGCAACUGUUUAGCAAAAACACAGGUCUAUGCAAAACCGAAAGGUGAGGUAUAUGGGCUGACGCCUGCCCGGUGCUGGAAGGUUAAGGGGAGAGGUUAGCGCAAGCGAAGCUUUGAACUUAAGCCCCAGUAAACGGCGGCCGUAACCAUAACGGUCCUAAGGUAGCGAAAUUCCUUGUCGGGUAAGUUCCGACCCGCACGAAAGGCGUAAUGAUUUGGGCACUGUCUCAACAAUGCACCCGGUGAAAUUGAAAUACCAGUGAAGAUGCUGGUUACCUGCGCCAGGACGGAAAGACCCCAUGGAGCUUUACUCCAGCUUGAUACUGGGAUUCGGUAUUGCAUGUACAGGAUAGGUGGGAGGCUAGGAAAUGGUAACGCCAGUUGCCAUGGAGCCGAUGUUGGGAUACCACCCUUGCAGUACUGGGUUUCUAACCAGCAGCCGUGAUCCGGCUGGGGGACAAUGUCAGGUGGGGAGUUUGACUGGGGCGGUCGCCUCCGAAAGGGUAUCGGAGGCGCUCAAAGGUUCCCUCAGAAUGGUUGGAAACCAUUCGAAGAGUGCAAAGGCAGAAGGGAGCUUGACUGCGACACCGACGGGUGGAGCAGGUACGAAAGUAGGACUUAGUGAUCCGGUGGUAUAAAGUGGGAUUGCCAUCGCUCAACGGAUAAAAGCUACCCUGGGAUAACAGCUUAUCACUCCCAAGAGUUCACAUCGACGGAGUGGUUUGGCACCUCGAUGUCGGCUCAUCGCAUCCUGGGGCUGAAGUAGGUCCCAAGGGUUGGGCUGUUCGCCCAUUAAAGCGGUACGCGAGCUGGGUUCAGAACGUCGUGAGACAGUUCGGUCCCUAUCCGGCGUGGGCGUAAGAUAUUUGAGAGGAGCUGUCCUUAGUACGAGAGGACCGGGAUGGACUGGCCGCUGGUGUAUCUGUUGUCUUACCAAAGGCAUAGCAGAGUAGCCAAGCCGGGAAGGGAUAAACGCUGAAGGCAUCUAAGCGUGAAGCCCCCCUCAAGAUGAGAUAUCUCAUAACGUCAAGUUAGUAAGACCCCUUGAAGACGACGAGGUAGAUAGGGCAGAGGUGGAAGUGUGGUAACACAUGGAGCUGACUGUUACUAAUAGGUCGAGGGCAUAACC
This 1420-nucleotide ribosomal RNA is filed under the name metagenome. RNAcentral describes it as "bacterial LSU rRNA". It matches the Rfam family "Bacterial large subunit ribosomal RNA", at positions 1482 to 2925 of the family's 2925-position model. The record is from RNAcentral.